This 491-nucleotide ribosomal RNA is filed under the name uncultured bacterium. RNAcentral describes it as "bacterial SSU rRNA". It matches the Rfam family "Bacterial small subunit ribosomal RNA", at positions 21 to 507 of the family's 1533-position model. The record is from RNAcentral.
GGCUCAGGAUGAACGCUAGCGGCAGGCUUAAUACAUGCAAGUCGUGGGGCAGCAUGAGUAGCAAUACUUGAUGGCGACCGGCAAACGGGUGAGGAACACGUACACAACCUUCCUCAAGCGGGGAAUAGCCCAGAGAAAUUUGGAUUAAUACCCCAUAAUAUAUUUGAUAAGGCAUCUUAUUAAUAUUAAAGCUUCGGCACUUGAUGAUGGGUGUGCGGCUGAUUAGAUAGUUGGCGGGGUAACGGCCCACCAAGUCUACGAUCAGUAGCUGAUGUGAGAGCAUGAUCAGCCACACGGGCACUGAGACACGGGCCCGACUCCUACGGGAGGCAGCUGUAAGGAAUAUUGGACAAUGGACGAAAGUCUGAUCCAGCCAUGCCGCGUGAAGGAUUAAGGUCCUCUGGAUUGUAAACUUCUUUUAUAUGGGACGAAAAAAGGGCAUUCUUGUUCACUUGACGGUACCAUAUGAAUAAGCACCGGCUAACUCCGUG